Molecule: long non-coding RNA, 1328 nt
Organism: Sinocyclocheilus rhinocerous
Lineage: Eukaryota; Metazoa; Chordata; Actinopteri; Cypriniformes; Cyprinidae
Exons: 4
Source: RefSeq, a predicted model, not a curated record
GUGAUGAAGAAGGACUUCAUUAAGCUCAACACCUCCACGAGAAGCUGGUGAAAGACGAUUUUGUACUGCAGAUCAACUCACCAUGGAGCUACCCAAAGAAACAGUCUGGUACAUUCAUUGCUAAAAUCCGGUCCGUGUGAGAGCGUGUUUUGGUUUGCCGAACCUCAGGGACCGGCUGGCUCCCCCAGGACUAAGCGCCCCUCAUAGGGUGGGAUAAAGAGGGUAUCCUUUACAGAGCAGGCCUUCAUCCACUCCCCCACCCCCACGGAGCACAGGCUACAUCAAUCGACACCACCAACCCUAUUGUCUGCACCGGGAUGUAAUCAGGUAAAGCUGCCAGCGACACUGAUUGAUUACUCCACAUCUAAUUUCUCUUGCUGGGAGCAACUACAUCUGGAGCUGAGUGCACACACUUCGGAGGCCGUCACCUGUCAAUCAUUCCUGUAAUUGAUGAUUCGGCCAAUCCUGUGUCUGCUCAACCCCCUGCAAAAGAAACUUGUACUGUAUCCACUCAGAACAGCCAGCUGCCAGUCAAAGCCAUAGUCACACACAGUCUUUUCCCCUGCUAGACAAAAUCAGUCAAUCCCUUUUCUCACAGUUCGUCCAUAUAGAAUCAACCCUGCUGUCAAUCAGACCGCAGGCUGUUGAAUCCUUUUUGAAGAGGGUCGAAUCAAAUCACAAUAGUGAUGGUACUGAUGUAAUGUUACAGAAUGAAGGCUGAGGUUGCUAAUGCAGCAAGACCGAGGCGUCCCUGAAGAUCCUGGACUCUUAAUUAUGGUGAAAUAAUCAGUGCGUGCAGCGUAGCCUCGGGCUGCCAGCCCCAGAGGUGAGCUCUACACAGACACACAGAGAACACAGAGCAGAGAAGAUACUGGUACUUCUCUGAAAACACUGUGUAGUUCAGCCAAAGUGGACAGGUUUAGAUUCAUCUGUGACAAAGGUAUUAAUGAUCUGGUUUUUAAAUGUCAUUAUAAAACACAAUAGAUGGGCUAUAAUGGCCUAACAGAUAUAUCUGAUUUAGUCAAAAAAAGACACUUUCUUUUGUCAGUGGAAAUGUUAUGAAUGCAAUGGGAUUAAGUGCACCUGUGUGAACUUACUUCAUACAUUCAUUAAAAAUCACCUUGGCACCAGUAGUUGAAGAAGUUGCCAAUGCCAUUUGGCUUGAUAUUUACAUGUAAUGCAGUGACAUUCAAUGUUCACUGUCAUGGGUCAGACAACCUAUAAUCCCACCCCAAAUUCACACUUUUUGGGAAAAUCAGUCAAAUACAAAUGUCUUACUUCUAGUGUUAUCUGCAAGUGGGAAGAAAAGCAUUUUAAAAGAAUAGUUC